UUUCGUUGCUUUCUCCGGUGGUGGGCGCUCCUCGCCGCCACCGGAGUGACUCGUCCUCUUGUAUUUCGUUUUCUCUUCACCUCUCUCAUCAUCUCCUUUUUGUCUGUUAACAGAUCUAGAAAUUUUGGGGUUUGAAUCUGUUAGAUCUACAGAUCUUGAGUUGUUUCCCUUUUAGAUUUCUGGUGCAGAUGGUCAUGUUUUGUGUCAGCCUUGUUCGUUUGCUUCGUCUUGGCUUGUGCUUCAUCUUUUUAUCCCAUCUGUCGUAUGUUCCUUGUCAGAGAGGUUGAAAAUCUGAGGCGUUCUUGUUGGGUUUUAGUGUUUGUCCUCUUGGUUUUUGUUUCAGCAACGGUUUAAGCGGUGGUGUGUUGAUGGUGCGGUCAUGUGUUGACGGUGUAGUGGUGUGUGGUGAGCAGAGCAGGUCUAACACCUUUGAGAAGAGAAGAUUCAUGGUUCUGGUCGCCUCCAUCUCUCUGUUAUGAGCUCUUCUCCUGUCCUUUGAAUAAGUGUGUCUACCGGAUUGUCAUUUGCCUCUCUCGUCCUCGGUGGCUUCUGUUAGUUGAAGCAUUAUAAAGAGGUUGAGGCCUUUAGAUUUUCCGAUGAAGGUUCAGUUGAGAAGGGAGCUUUAGUGUAAGGCGUUUGUUUGCUUCUUGAGUUGGUUUUUGGUGUUAGACAUUGUGGUUCUGGCUUGGUUCAUGGAACUGAAGGUUCAUGUAAGUUUGGUCUGGUGUCGUAGUUGUGAAGGCCAUUGCAUCGCUUACUCUCUCUUGUCUGGCUCUCGGAAGAGAUCCGGCUGAUCAAAGCCAAUAGGUAUCAUCUCUAUUCUCACUACCAAGGAUUGUUCACGGGUUUGGAUGUAAGAGUGAAGAUUAAUCUAGUGAUCUUAGUAGUUGUUGUAUGUCACCCGUUGUUCACUUGUUUGGGUUUGCGAUCCCCUGUUGUGGGCUAUGUUUCCAGGGAUUUCAGGGAUUUUAAGUCGUAUCCGCUGGCAUUUGGAUUUCAUCUUGUAUGUUUUUUCAGUUUCAUCAAUAAAAAUCAGAAGGGAAAAAAAAAAAAAA
This 1055-nucleotide long non-coding RNA is filed under the name Brassica napus (rape). RNAcentral describes it as "long non-coding RNA (BNAP_LNC024739)". Lineage: Eukaryota; Viridiplantae; Streptophyta; Magnoliopsida; Brassicales; Brassicaceae. The record is from RNAcentral.